GAUGAACGCUGGCGGCGUGCCUAACACAUGCAAGUCGAACGGUGAAGCGCCAACCUUUUUGGUGGGUGUGGAUGAGUGGCGGACGGGGUAGUAACUCGAUAGUAACCUGCUCCCUCCUGCUGGAUAACGGCAUGAAAGUGCGGCUAAUACGGGAUAUUCUGGACCUGUCGCAUGAUGGGUUUGGGAAAGAUUUGGUGUCGGUGGGGGAUGGUCUCGCGGUGUAUCAGCUUGUUGGUGGGGUGACGGCUGACCAAGGCGGCGAUGGGUAGCCGGCCUGAGAGGGGGGUCGGCCACACUGGUGCUGAUGCACGGCCCACACGCCUACGGGAGGCGGCAGCAGGGAAGAUUCCUGCACGGGCGGAGGCAUGAUGAAGCAGCGCCGCGGGGGGGAGGAUGGACUCCUGCUGGUUGUGAACCUCUUUCGGGAAUGAAGAAAGGCUGCCUUGUUUGUGGGUGGGUUGACGGUACCUAAAUAAGAAGCGCCGGCUAACUACGUG
RNAcentral lists this ribosomal RNA (497 nucleotides) under uncultured bacterium. Its description in RNAcentral is "partial 16S ribosomal RNA". It matches the Rfam family "Bacterial small subunit ribosomal RNA", at positions 28 to 507 of the family's 1533-position model. The record is from RNAcentral.